Molecule: ribosomal RNA, 565 nt
Filed under: uncultured bacterium
Lineage: Bacteria
Description: bacterial SSU rRNA
Rfam family: Bacterial small subunit ribosomal RNA
Source: RNAcentral
CGGACGGGUGAGUAACGCGUGAGCAACCUGCCUUGAAGUGGGGGACAACAGUUGGAAACGACUGCUAAUACCGCAUAAUAUAUUUAGAUCGCAUGGUUUAGAUAUCAAAGAUUUAUCGCUUCAAGAUGGGCUCGCGUCUGAUUAGGUAGUUGGCGGGGUAACGGCCCACCAAGCCGACGAUCAGUAGCCGGACUGAGAGGUUGAACGGCCACAUUGGGACUGAGAUACGGCCCAGACUCCUACGGGAGGCAGCAGUGGGGAAUAUUGGGCAAUGGGCGCAAGCCUGACCCAGCAAUGCCGCGUGAAGGAAGAAGGCUUUCGGGUUGUAAACUUCUUUGACAGGGGAAGAGCAGAAGACGGUACCCUGAAAACAAGCCACGGCUAACUACGUGCCAGCAGCCGCGGUAAUACGUAGGUGGCAAGCGUUGUCCGGAUUUACUGGGUGUAAAGGGCGUGUAGCCGGGAAGGCAAGUCAGAUGUGAAAUCUGGAGGCUCAACCUCCAAAUUGCAUUUGAAACUGUUUUUCUUGAGUACUGGAGAGGCAGACGGAAUUCCUUGUGUAGCG